Molecule: long non-coding RNA, 553 nt
Filed under: Hordeum vulgare
Lineage: Eukaryota; Viridiplantae; Streptophyta; Magnoliopsida; Poales; Poaceae
Description: long non-coding RNA (HVUL_LNC008206)
Source: RNAcentral
AAAUCAGGAGGGGGAGAAGAGAUUAUUUAGAAAAGUUAAGUAACAUCACGUAGAAGGUUUACAUAAGUGUAGCAUUUUUGAAAUAUCUGCUGCUAAGGGAUGUGAAACAAAGCGUUAUUUAGGGAAUGUUGGAAGAUUUUCUUCAAAGCAUUCACGUUGGAUUCAUAUUUUUUGUUUUUCAAUGUAUAUUCUGAAUUUUAAUUUGAAAUUUUUAGGGAUUAUACAUUCAUGUGAUGUGAACAUCCACAAUUUUUUAAAAUAUUUUUAGACAUUUAAAUACGCAUUUUGAAAAUGGGAGCACCUAAUAUGAGGUGCUCCCAUAGCACGAGAUAUUCACCCCAUAAGAACGUGAUGCAACACUACAAAUUGUUGAUCACCAAAAAAUACCGCUUGUUAGCAUAUAUAGAUGGAUAGAUGCAACAUUACCCACCCUAUCAACCCCAGCUCACGGAGCAUCAUUAAUUUCCACCGCAUCGCCGCCGCCGCUGUGAGCUGCCACUGUCGGUCGCUAAUGUAUGUGGACAGGGAGAGAGACGUGAUUUAUUCGUACUAC